GGGGUCGUGGGGUAACCUGGCAUCCUAGCAGGCUCCAGACCUGCCGACGAGGGUUCAAAUCCCUCCGACCCCA
RNAcentral lists this transfer RNA (73 nucleotides) under Candidatus Altarchaeales archaeon. RNAcentral's name for it is "tRNA-Trp". It matches the Rfam family "tRNA". Rfam says of the family: Transfer RNA (tRNA) molecules are approximately 80 nucleotides in length. The record is from RNAcentral. Lineage: Archaea; Nanobdellati; Candidatus Altarchaeota; Candidatus Altarchaeia; Candidatus Altarchaeales.